GACGAACGCUGGCGGCGUGCUUAACACAUGCAAGUCGAACGGAAAGGCCCUGCUUUUGUGGGGUGCUCGAGUGGCGAACGGGUGAGUAACACGUGAGUAACCUGCCCUUGACUUUGGGAUAACUUCAGGAAACUGGGGUUAAUACCGGAUAGGAGCUCCUGCUGCAUGGUGGGGGUUGGAAAGUUUCGGCGGUUGGGGAUGGACUCGCGGCUCAUCAGCUUGUUGGUGGGGUAGUGGCUUACCAAGGCUUUGACGGGUAGCCGGCCUGAGAGGGUGACCGGCCACAUUGGGCCUGAGAUACGGCGCAGACUCCAACGGGAGGCAGCAGUGGGGAAUAUUGCACAAUGAGCGGAAGCCUGAUGCAGCAACGCCGCGUGCGGGAUGACGGCCUUCGGGUUGUAAACCGCAUUCGCUUGUGACGCAGCGUGAGUGACGGUAAUGGGUAAAGAAGCACCGGCUAACUACGUG
RNAcentral lists this ribosomal RNA (468 nucleotides) under uncultured bacterium. Its description in RNAcentral is "partial 16S ribosomal RNA". It matches the Rfam family "Bacterial small subunit ribosomal RNA", at positions 28 to 507 of the family's 1533-position model. The record is from RNAcentral.